Molecule: non-coding RNA, 148 nt
Filed under: Nomascus leucogenys (northern white-cheeked gibbon)
Lineage: Eukaryota; Metazoa; Chordata; Mammalia; Primates; Hylobatidae
Source: Rfam by way of RNAcentral
GCCAGGCGUGGUGGCGUGCACCUGUAAUCCCAGCUACUCAGGAGGCUGAGGCAGGAGAAUCGUUUGAUCCCGGGAGGUGGAGGUUGCAGUGAGCCGAGACCAUGCCACUGCACUCCAGCCUGGGAGACAGAGCGAGACUCUGUCUCAA